RNAcentral lists this long non-coding RNA (235 nucleotides) under Elaeis guineensis (African oil palm). Its description in RNAcentral is "long non-coding RNA (EGUI_LNC013250)". The record is from RNAcentral. Lineage: Eukaryota; Viridiplantae; Streptophyta; Magnoliopsida; Arecales; Arecaceae.
UCAUCACCACUAAUCAUGUGUUCAGAGAAAUUUUUCUUGAGUAGUCCCAGAAUUGUGCAUUGUGUCAUGUUGAGAAGUAACAUGCACACAUUCAAGCCACUUUGUACUACCUAUGUUUCUUAUAAAAUGUCUUUAGAUGUCACUAUUUGGCAUAUGGUUGCAACUAACUUGUGGGCAUUUGGUUGUUGUUUUAUAAACCACGACUUUCUUCUCCUCCUUGUUGUGAGCUAUAAGU